This 88-nucleotide transfer RNA is filed under the name bacterium DOLZORAL124_64_63. RNAcentral describes it as "tRNA-Ser". It matches the Rfam family "tRNA". From Rfam's summary of the family: Transfer RNA (tRNA) molecules are approximately 80 nucleotides in length. Their secondary structure includes four short double-helical elements and three loops (D, anti-codon, and T loops). The record is from RNAcentral.
GGAGAGGUGCGAGAGUGGCUUAAUCGGAUCGCCUGGAAAGCGGUUGUGCAGCAAUGUACCGAGGGUUCGAAUCCCUCCCUCUCCGCCA